AUACGGAGGGUGCAAGCGUUACUCGGAAUCACUGGGCGUAAAGCGCGCGCAGGCGGCUAUCUAAGUUGGAUGUGAAAGCCUACGGCUCAACCGUAGAACUGCAUCCAAAACUAUUUAGCUAGAGAGUGGGAGAGGAAGAUGGAAUUAGUUGUGUAGGGGUAAAAUCCGUAGAGAUAACUAGGAAUACCAAAAGCGAAGGCAAUCUUCUGGAACACUACUGACGCUGAGGCGCGAAAGCGUGGGGAGCAAACGGGAUUAGAAACCCUAGUAGUCC
Molecule: ribosomal RNA, 274 nt
Filed under: uncultured bacterium
Lineage: Bacteria
Description: partial 16S ribosomal RNA
Rfam family: Bacterial small subunit ribosomal RNA
Source: RNAcentral